CAAAAGAUUAGUUAAUAUAAUAUAUAACACUGGAUUGUCAAAUCAGAAUAAUUAAUAUAUAUCUUUU
Molecule: transfer RNA, 67 nt
Filed under: Paracarsidara gigantea
Lineage: Eukaryota; Metazoa; Arthropoda; Insecta; Hemiptera; Carsidaridae
Description: tRNA-Asp
Source: RNAcentral